Molecule: non-coding RNA, 26 nt
Filed under: Homo sapiens (human)
Lineage: Eukaryota; Metazoa; Chordata; Mammalia; Primates; Hominidae
Source: RNAcentral
UGCUGUGCUGUUGCCUCUAGGUGACU